RNAcentral lists this ribosomal RNA (464 nucleotides) under uncultured bacterium. RNAcentral's name for it is "partial 16S ribosomal RNA". It matches the Rfam family "Bacterial small subunit ribosomal RNA", at positions 28 to 507 of the family's 1533-position model. The record is from RNAcentral.
GACGAACGCUGGCGGCGUGCUUAACACAUGCAAGUCGAACGGAAAGGCCCUGCUUGCAGGGUACUCGAGUGGCGAACGGGUGAGUAACACGUGGGUGAUCUGCCCUGCACUUCGGGAUAAGCCUGGGAAACUGGGUCUAAUACCGGAUAGGAGCCAUUUUUAGUGUGAUGGUUGGAAAGUUUUUUCGGUGUAGGAUGAGCUCGCGGCCUAUCAGCUUGUUGGUGGGGUAAUGGCCUACCAAGGCGGCGACGGGUAGCCGGCCUGAGAGGGUGGACGGCCACAUUGGGACUGAGAUACGGCCCAGACUCCUACGGGAGGCAGCAGUGGGGAAUAUUGCACAAUGGGCGCAAGCCUGAUGCAGCGACGCCGCGUGGGGGAUGACGGCCUUCGGGUUGUAAACUCCUUUCGCUAGGGACGAAGCUUUUGUAACGGUACCUAGAUAAGAAGCACCGGCUAACUACGUG